RNAcentral lists this ribosomal RNA (482 nucleotides) under uncultured bacterium. RNAcentral describes it as "partial 16S ribosomal RNA". It matches the Rfam family "Bacterial small subunit ribosomal RNA", at positions 28 to 507 of the family's 1533-position model. The record is from RNAcentral.
GACGAACGCUGGCGGCGUGCUUAACACAUGCAAGUCGAACGCUGAAGCUCAGCUUGCUGGGUGGAUGAGUGGCGAACGGGUGAGUAACACGUGAGUAACCUGCCCUCUUCUUUGGGAUAACGCCCGGAAACGGGUGCUAAUACUGGAUAUUCACUGAUUCUCGCAUGGGGGUUGGUGGAAAGGUUUUUUCUGGUGGGGGAUGGGCUCGCGGCCUAUCAGCUUGUUGGUGGGGUGAUGGCCUACCAAGGCGUUGACGGGUAGCCGGCCUGAGAGGGUGACCGGUCACAUUGGGACUGGGAUACGGCCCAGAGUCCUACGGGAGGCAGCAGUGGGGAAUAAUGCACAAUGGGCGAAAGCCUGAUGCAGCGACGCCGCGUGAGGGAUGGAGGCCUUCGGGUUGUAAACCUCUUUCGCGCAGGGUCAAGCCGCAGCGUUGGGUUGUGGUGAGGGUAGUGGGUAAAGAAGCGCCGGCUAACUACGUG